GAUGAAGAACGUAGCGAAAUGCGAUAAGUAAUGUGAAUCGCAGAAUUCAGUGAAUCAUCGAAUCUUUGAACGCACAUUGCGCCCGCCAGUAUUCUGGCGGGCAUGCCUGUUCGAGCGUCAUUUCAACCAUCAAGCCCCCGGCUUGUGUUGGGGACCUGCGGCUGCCGCAGGCCCUGAAAAGCAGUGGCGGGCUCGCUGUCACACCGAGCGUAGUAGCAUACAUCUCGCUCUGGGCGUGCUGCGGGUUCCGGCCGUUAAACCACCUUCAUAACCCAAGGUUGACCUCGGAUCAGGUAGGAAGACCCGCUGAACUUAAGCAUAUCAAUAAGCGGAGGA
This 336-nucleotide unclassified non-coding RNA is filed under the name soil metagenome. RNAcentral describes it as "partial contains 5.8S ribosomal RNA, internal transcribed spacer 2, and large subunit ribosomal RNA". The stretch from base 1 to 120 matches the Rfam family "5.8S ribosomal RNA", at positions 35 to 154 of the family's 154-position model. The record is from RNAcentral.